UAACUGAAUACAUAGGUUAACAGAGCAAACCGGGGGAACUGAAACAUCUAAGUACCCCGAGGAGAAGAAAUCAACCGAGAUUCCGGUAGUAGCGGCGAGCGAACCUGGAUUAGCCCUUAAGCACUCGGUGAAGUAGGUGAACAAGCUGGAAAGCUUGGCGAUACAGGGUGAUAGCCCCGUAACCGACGCUUCAUCGAGCGUGAAAUCGAGUAGGGCGGGACACGUGAUAUCCUGUCUGAAUAUGGGGGGACCAUCCUCCAAGGCUAAAUACUCCUGACUGACCGAUAGUGAACCAGUACCGUGAGGGAAAGGCGAAAAGAACCCCUGUGAGGGGAGUGAAAUAGAACCUGAAACCGUGUACGUACAAGCAGUAGGAGCACCUUCGUGGUGUGACUGCGUACCUUUUGUAUAAUGGGUCAGCGACUUAUAUUCAGUGGCAAGGUUAACCGUAUAGGGGAGCCGUAGCGAAAGCGAGUCUUAACUGGGCGCUCAGUCUCUGGAUAUAGACCCGAAACCGGGUGAUCUAGCCAUGGGCAGGUUGAAGGUUGAGUAACAUCAACUGGAGGACCGAACCGACUAAUGUUGAAAAAUUAGCGGAUGACUUGUGGCUAGGGGUGAAAGGCCAAUCAAACUCGGAGAUAGCUGGUUCUCCCCGAAAGCUAUUUAGGUAGCGCCUCGGACGAAUACUACUGGGGGUAGAGCACUGUUAAGGCUAGGGGGUCAUCCCGACUUACCAACCCUUUGCAAACUCCGAAUACCAGUAAGUACUAUCCGGGAGACACACGGCGGGUGCUAACGUCCGUCGUGGAGAGGGAAACAACCCAGACCGCCAGCUAAGGUCCCAAAGUAUUGCUAAGUGGGAAACGAUGUGGGAAGGCUCAGACAGCUAGGAUGUUGGCUUAGAAGCAGCCAUCAUUUAAAGAAAGCGUAAUAGCUCACUAGUCGAGUCGGCCUGCGCGGAAGAUGUAACGGGGCUAAGCA
This 981-nucleotide ribosomal RNA is filed under the name Vibrio cholerae. Its description in RNAcentral is "partial 23S ribosomal RNA". It matches the Rfam family "Bacterial large subunit ribosomal RNA", at positions 155 to 1188 of the family's 2925-position model. Lineage: Bacteria; Pseudomonadati; Pseudomonadota; Gammaproteobacteria; Vibrionales; Vibrionaceae. The record is from RNAcentral.